Molecule: long non-coding RNA, 1202 nt
Organism: Hylaeus volcanicus
Lineage: Eukaryota; Metazoa; Arthropoda; Insecta; Hymenoptera; Colletidae
Exons: 2
Source: RefSeq, a predicted model, not a curated record
AAAAUCACGCAUCAGUAAAUAAUACAAUCUGCACCUUAGUUUUAGAUAAGAACUAUAUUUGAGAUACUAAACAUGAAUAAUACUGACCUACAACAAUCUAGAGCGAAAUCAGAUAGGAGUAACGUUUGAAUCAGCGUUUUAAAAUUAUUAUUUCUACACUAAAUUUACCAUUCAAGUUAUUCUCAUAGAUUACAAAAUGCCUUGCAUUAAUUGGUAAAGUGACCUUGCUUGACAUUGACAUUGGUAAAAGCUGUCGUGCGUUAUCUUCGACGGCAGUGCGAGAUUACGCAAAACCAAGUACACGAAUCCAUUUAAAAAUUUAAUCUAAAACGCACUCGUCUAUGAAGGAAUCAUUGCCACUCGUUAGUCCCCGCGAAACCAUUUAAUUCUUAUCUAAAACAUGUUUUGAUAGCGUAAUACUUUCGACGAUACUUGUGAAACCGGAUCAAAAUGAAUAACCCUGUACCAUAAAAAUAGACUGGUUUAUUAAACUAGUACGUUGCAGGAAAAUUGGAAUCUAAGGGAGUUUAAUGGUAAAUGCAUUAGUAAAGAGGAUACAAUGCACUCGUGUAAAAUAAAAUAUGUCGCUUCUGGAUAAAGUCCACAGUCGAAUAAUUUGCAAACAAAAUUGUGUUGUACUUGGAGUGAUAGGAAUUAAAAUAUCUUCCCUCCUCUGUUAUCUGAUACAAAACAAAAAGACUCAUUGUCAGAUAAUGAUAAGAAUAUGUACGCACUCUUAUAAUCUAUUUAUACAGAUCGUAUAAACAGGAACAUUCAUCAAAUGCGCAGUUUCUCUCGCACCGUUUCACACACAAACGCUAGAAUUCACGUUGUGCCCAACGGGCUGAUCGGUGCUUUAUCGGAGUAUAGAACUCUGGAAGUCUAGACAUAAGUCUAUCUGAAAUUCUCACAACAUGAUUAAAAAGAAAAUCCAAAAGCAACAUAAUGAAGGAAGAAGGUGGACUUUCCCUAGAACUUUGUGCAAGGUUCAAACCCUGCGUCUGACAGACAACAGCCGCGGUCGCAACUUGAUUAUGAAUGUUGGAAGUCGUGCUGGUGGUUUGAAGUGUUUGUGGUGAACUGGCUGUGGCCGCGCUGCUCAGGCUACUGGUACUACUGUACCUCGUGCCACCACGAGCCAGCCCAGUUACAUCGACCUCCAUACUUUCUGUAAUUAAAUAAACGAUUCAAUUAAUAUGCCA